RNAcentral lists this transfer RNA (72 nucleotides) under Fibrella aestuarina BUZ 2. Its description in RNAcentral is "tRNA-Glu (TTC) (tRNA-Glu-TTC-2-1)". It matches the Rfam family "tRNA". Rfam says of the family: Transfer RNA (tRNA) molecules are approximately 80 nucleotides in length. Their secondary structure includes four short double-helical elements and three loops (D, anti-codon, and T loops). The record is from Rfam by way of RNAcentral. Lineage: Bacteria; Pseudomonadati; Bacteroidota; Cytophagia; Cytophagales; Spirosomataceae.
CACCGGUUCGGCUAUCGGCUAGGCCAUCAUCCUUUCACGGUGAGGAGACGGGUUCGAUUCCCGUACCGGUGA